RNAcentral lists this ribosomal RNA (429 nucleotides) under Bacteroidota bacterium. RNAcentral's name for it is "Bacteroidetes bacterium partial 16S ribosomal RNA". It matches the Rfam family "Bacterial small subunit ribosomal RNA", at positions 355 to 776 of the family's 1533-position model. The record is from RNAcentral. Lineage: Bacteria; Pseudomonadati; Bacteroidota.
UAGGGAAUCUUCCGCAAUGGGCGAAAGCCUGACGGAGCAACGCCGCGUGAGUGAUGAAGGUCUUCGGAUCGUAAAACUCUGUUAUUAGGGAAGAACAAAUGUGUAAGUAACUAUGCACAUCUUGACGGUACCUAAUCAGAAAGCCACGGCUAACUACGUGCCAGCAGCCGCGGUAAUACGUAGGGCGCAAGCGUUAUCCGGAAUUAUUGGGCGUAAAGAGCUUGUAGGCGGUUCGUCGCGUCUGGUGUGAAAGCCCAUCGCUUAACGGUGGGUUUGCGCCGGGUACGGGCGGGCUAGAGUGCAGUAGGGGAGACUGGAAUUCACGGUGUAACGGUGGAAUGUGUAGAUAUCGGGAAGAACACCAAUGGCGAAGGCAGGUCUCUGGGCUGUUACUGACGCUGAGAAGCGAAAGCGUGGGGAGCGAACAGG